RNAcentral lists this ribosomal RNA (253 nucleotides) under uncultured bacterium. RNAcentral's name for it is "partial 16S ribosomal RNA". It matches the Rfam family "Bacterial small subunit ribosomal RNA", at positions 524 to 776 of the family's 1533-position model. The record is from RNAcentral.
UACAGAGGGUGCGAGCGUUGUUCGGAAUUAUUGGGCGUAAAGGGCGCGUAGGCGGCUUGCCAAGUCAGGGGUGAAAUCUUUCGGCUCAACCGGAAAAGUGCUUCUGAUACUGGCAGGCUGGAGGGAGGUAGGGGCAGAUGGAACUUCCGGUGGAGCGGUGAAAUGCGUAGAUAUCGGAAGGAACGCCGGUGGCGAAAGCGAUCUGCUGGAUCUCUUCUGACGCUGAGACGCGAAAGCGUGGGGAGCAAACAGG